UUCUGCUAGGUUGCCCUGAAACGAGAGUAUAUAUGCAGAUUUUGUCUCCCUAAAGAAGGGCUUUUAAGCUUCGCCUCCGCCUCUCUGGAAGCCAUUCAUUAUCCAGAACCUUUCUUCCUCGUCUGCAAAUCCAUUUCCUGUUUUGCUUAUUUAGCUAAGAAAUCCCAUCCCUCUCCCUUUUACCGAUCAGAAAAAAGAAAACAAACAAACUUUUCUCCAUCUUAUUCUCUAUGUCGAUUUCGUGCACCGACUCCUCGACUGAUUUAGACGAUGAAGACAGGGAGCGUAACGACUUUUGUCUCACAAAAUUUGGGAUUUGGUGGCAUCGGUAAUUAAAGAAACCCCAAAUCCUCUGAGAAAUCUAACACGACCGGCGGAGCAAGAUCGUUAAUCACUCCUUUCUCUCUCAGAACCCCAUAUCCUCUGAGAAAUCUAACACGACCGCCGUCACAUUCCUUGCUCCGCCGUCGGAAUGCCUCCGGCAGGUUUUAAUCAGGAGAAGCCGAAUGGCUCUGAAGUGUCAUCAUUGGUAUAGCCACAGCCGUCCGCCUUCUAUGGUAGCUGCUCAACCACAAGGUAAAAAUAAGUUGCCAAAGUGGACAUGAUUGUUUGUUUUCUUUUAUGUUCUUUUUCUCCAUAAUUAGGAGCACAAAAGUUUUUCACCCAUAAAUCCCUCCUUCCUCAUUUGUGGAGCAGGUUUUUCAUGCCAUGAACAUGUCACCAUUAAUAUUGCUUACCGUUGGGAGAAAUUUUAUUUGUGUUGGUGGGGUUGAUUCAAAGUUGACCGAUUUCUUGACCGGAGAUGUAACUAAUUUUAAUUAUAACAAGUUCUAUCAAAUAAGUCGUCGAAACAUAUAUAUUACAGGGAGCAUUUUUGUUCACCAUAAUGCUCACUGUACACCUAAUCAAUUGACAUGUGUCAUUUCACUUAAUCUUGGUUAAUUUUUUUUCAAAAUUGAAAAACUAACAUUUAAUGUGAAAGUUAAUUAGAGUUAAGUGAAAUGACACGUGUCAAUUGAUUAGUUAUACACUAUAGUUUAUGGUGAUGAGAAAAAUGCUCCCAUAUAUUACAAUGGCUAGAUGCAAGAAAGCAUUUGAGGAUAUGUGCCAAAUGAUAACAUGCGGUAACUAAAAACUCUCAAUUUUUUUUUUUUUUACUCAAAAUUAUAUAUAUUGAUUUUCAAUUGGAUGGUGAUAGUUUUCAACAAUACCUGAGGAGUCGCUCAGAGUGGAGUUAGCGGCUAAUCUAGCCUAUCAUUUGAUAGUUCCUAUGGCACAGUGGUGGCCUUGUUUUGGGAUGGGACAAUACAAGUCCACAUCCUCAAAUGUUUCGAGUGAUCGCAGGUGAAUCAUUUACGACGAGUGAUAAUGCUAUGGCUCUUGGUAUAGGAGGACAAUAUAUAAACCUACAGUAUCUGACAGAUUAUUAUCAUGGAGAAUUAGCACAAGUCUUCCAACAUACAAUGUUACUACUCAACCAAGCCUGCCUUUUAGAUCGUUUUUGUGGUGGAGUUGUUAGAGUGGUACUGCAGAGAGAUGAGCACUGCCACCAUCGUGCAUGGCUGAAGAAGCAGUCCUAAUGGUUAAUCGGUAGCUGGAUUGGCUUAGCAAGUAUUUUGGUAAACCAUGAAACUUGUGUUAGCUUGGAAACUAGUAGGUGGUAGCUUUAAACAUUGAAGCUAAACUUUGUUUGGUUGUUAAUAUUUACCACUUGAUUACCCGUAUCCGUGUGAUGUAUGAUUCCUUGCUUGGAUGUUGAAUUUUAACGUUCGUGAUCUGUAAUGAAGAAUUUGUUGAAAAUUAUGUAUUAUAAUAUUAAUUUACAAGAUUUUUAAUUUUAA
Non-coding RNA from Malus domestica (apple), 1841 nucleotides. NCBI's taxonomy places the organism in Eukaryota, Viridiplantae, Streptophyta, Magnoliopsida, Rosales, Rosaceae. The record is from RefSeq and is a predicted model, not a curated record.